Molecule: long non-coding RNA, 2948 nt
Filed under: Homo sapiens (human)
Lineage: Eukaryota; Metazoa; Chordata; Mammalia; Primates; Hominidae
Description: HSALNT0339573
Source: RNAcentral
CAGUCUCAGGUAGUUCUUUGUAGCAAUGUGAAAAUGGACUAAUACACUACUUUAAAAUCUUUUUCAAGUAAUUCCAAAAUCUCUAUUAUCUUGGUAUUGGCAUCUACUGAUUGUCUUUUUUUCACUCAGUUGAGAUCUUCCUGGUUCUUGGUAUACUAACUGAUAUUCUACUGAAAUUUCAUAUUGUUAUAAGACUCUGACUCUUAUUUAAACCUUUUGUUUUUGCUGACUUUCUCUGAUGCUGCUCCAGCCUCAUUACAAUAGAGACAGAAGUCCAGGUUCUCCACUCGGCAUUUACUCAUCCACCAAGGGUGGGCGGGGCUCCUUGUUACCGCUGGGUUGGGACUUCCAGUUCCCCAUGUGGUCUCUACUGCUGCCACAAGUGCAGGUGGCCUUGUUACCACUUGGCCUCAGGGUGAUAGUCUGGACUCUCCAUCAGGUUUGCUCCAACAUCAGGCUGGGUGAAGAAGGAAAUCCAGGAUUCCCACAUGGUCUCCGGACACCACAGAGAAUGAAGUUCAUUCCUGGCCAGCAGGGAUGAAAAUCAUGGCUCCCUAUGUGGUCAUCUCUGACAUCACCCCAGCAAGGGUGGGAGUUGGAGCAUUUUCAGACAGAAAGGGUGUAAGUCUAGGCUCCCCACUCAGCUCUUCCUGGCAAGGGGAGGGGUGGGACACAGUUUCUUCCAUGGUGUUUGGCUAGAGUGGACAGUUGAUGGCUUACAAAUCUUCUUUUGUGUUAAGCUCUCUCCUUCUUGAGCCUUUGGCUAGGGAGAGAUCAGGCUUUUACUGGGCUUCUUUCUGGUCUGUGCCCACUGGCAUUUCCUGGUUGCCAGUGUUUUCAGCUCCAAGUCUGGAUUACUUCAGGCAACAGGAAAAUCCAGGGAACUCAUCAUCACGUUGUUGUUUCUUGAGUCCCAAUAUCCUUAGCCACUCUGCCUUUUUCUUUUCACCUUUCAGAGUCUUCUUAGGUCUGUUUUAUAUAUAAUGGCCAGUGUUUUUUUUGUUUUGUUUUUCUCAGAUACUGUUAUUUUAUUUCAGAAAUAAGUAGUAACACACAUAGACACAUUUCUCUUUCUGCCUGCCCAGAAAACCACUACCCCAAAGUAAGUUUCAAUCUUUCCCAUGUGUGUUUUCACACUUUUGUUAUAAACAUCAUAAUAUAUAUACAUAAGUGUGCAUUGAACACUUUGUUUUUACAUUUCCUUGAAAUACACUUAAGAAUUCUGUCUUUCUUAAUUGCUUACAGCACAAAGACCAGGUCUUCACGAGUAAGCUGAAAUACAGCAUUGACACUGAUAUUAGGCUAAUUUAUGCCCACAAAAUGCUUUGGCCUAAAAUAUUCUGAGAAGCAAGGAGAACAUCUGUCUUACUUCAAAAGAGCUGUUUAUAAGCACAAUCUCCCACUUACUUGCUUGAUAGGGUCUUGGCUUAAGCCCUAGAAAGGAUCAAACAUAUUAUCCAUACCCUCUAUCAGAGUUUACAUCUUUCAAGAGAGUCUUGAGUCAGUAUUAAGAUCUUCUGGGAUCUCAGAUCUUGGCUUCCUUUUAUCUCCUCUCCCCUACAACCCCAAGAACAGUCCCUUAAACCAACUUGGUGCUUCCUUUCUGGGCUUCCUGCAAUAGACAUUUUCAAGGGUUGUUUGUGGCCGCCGUGCUUGCUGAGGCCUUUCAGGCAGGCAAGGAAGACACAACCUUGGAAUAUGUAUCAAUCCUGUACAAGAUGAAUCGCUGUCCUUCUUGGGUAAUUAACUUCCUGCCAAGCAGCUGUUUGGUCUCCUCAAGGGAUAAUACCAUGGUGGAGCCUCAGAGUCAAUCUCCAUCGCUGGCAGGUAGGAUACUCAGCAGCAACAAGAUCUAGAGGAGUCUCGGUGACAGGUGAGCCAUGCUACUGUAUAACGGCCAGUGUUUUAGUUGCACUUACUGGGAGCAGUAGGGAAAAGUACAUCUCCCUCUUUCCAGAAGCAGAAGUUUCUCAUUAAAAUUUUAAACAAUGAUAUCUACUAAAUGACAUUUUAAAAUAAAUAAGAUAAACUUUAGUAUAUAAAUCUGAUGGAAUGCGCAGUUGUUUUAAGAUGAGCAAUGCUAUUGUAGUGACACAGAAUGACUGCCAAAAUAUAGUAAGGGAUAAAAGCAAGGUAUAAAUGCUAUUAAUGCAAAAGCAGAAAACAAAGGAAUAAAUAUAUGUAUAUGCCAGUGCAUGCACCAAAUAUCUCUGGAACAUCAUAUAAGAAAUUUUUAAUAGAGAUGCCUUUGGGGAGGAAAAAUGGAAGACUAGGGAAAAGGCCAUAGGGUGAGAAGAAAGGGACUAAGUUUUUACAGAUGUUACCUUUCCAAAAGAAUUACUAAGGAAGGUUGCUAAAUAACUCAUUUAAUCUUGAAUAAUAGGCAGGCAAAACAUGAAAAUGCUGUGUAUGACUAAUAAAGAUGAAAUCUGUUUAAUUAAAAUGAGAAAACACUACAUAAAUAGCAAAAGAAUAGUUCAGUGAGUGACAGCAGAACAAUAGACUCGUUCUAGGAAUUAGAAUACAACCUAGUACAGAUGAACUAAAUAACUACUUUUAAAAUGUAUUUUAGAUUCUGAUAUCAUGGUGAACAAGGCACCUGAAUAAAGCUUCCCACUGAAAAUCAGCAGAAAAGCAGACACAGCAACCUGGAUCACUCCAUCUCAGGCCAUAGGUCCUCAGGGAAUGACCAAAGUCAAGGAGCUUCUAGAUUCUAAGGCAAGAAUCAGACAGGAGGAUGAAGGGAACUUCAGGGGAAGGUUAUGAUGUCUCCAACCAGACCGAAGAUCAGAGAAAAUCUCCAAAAGACAUGUGAAUGGAUGUCUUAACUUUUAGAACCUUAAGUAAGUAAUUUGUAUGGCAAGCACCCAGCAGAGGAACCAAAGUUAGUCUUUCCAAAGCUGUGUCUCUCUACCAAGCAAGACCUCACUCCUUCCCAAAUCAAUUAA